RNA transcript from Lagenorhynchus albirostris (white-beaked dolphin), 2991 nucleotides. It is a transcript of the gene named lactamase beta, with no coding region annotated. NCBI's taxonomy places the organism in Eukaryota, Metazoa, Chordata, Mammalia, Artiodactyla, Delphinidae. The record is from RefSeq and is a predicted model, not a curated record. The transcript has 11 exons.
UGCCGCCCGCCAGGCCUGCGCGAGCUCUGAAGCUGCAGGCUCGCCAGAGACGCCAUGUACCGGCUCCUGUCAGCCGUGACAAACCGGGCCGUGACCCACGGGAGCUGCGCCUGGGGCUGCGGGCGGCGUGCAGCUCACCAGCGCGCCGGGCUGCCGCCGCUCGGCCCUGGCUGGGUCGGAGGCCUCGGGCUGGGUCUCGGGCUGGCGCUUGGGGUGAAGCUGGCCGGCGGGCUGAGGGGUGCGUCCCCCACGCCGCCCACCGCGGCCCCAGACCCUGAGACGCCGCCUCAGGCCGAGCCGCUGCCGCUGCAGGAGCAGCCCCUCGCCCAGUGGUCUCCGCAGACCCCGACGCCGCCGCACUCCAGGCGCUUUGCCAGAGCCAUCGACCGCAGCCGCGACCUCCUGCACAGAAUCAAGGAUGAGGUGGGCGCACCGGGCAUUGUGGUUGGAGUCUCUGUAGAUGGAAAAGAAGUCUGGUCAGAAGGUUUAGGUUAUGCUGAUGUUGAGAACCGUGUACCAUGCAAGCCAGAGACAGUUAUGAGAAUUGCUAGUAUCAGCAAAAGCCUCACCAUGGUUGCUAUUGCCAAAUUGUGGGAAGCAGGGAAACUGGAUCUUGAUAUUCCAGUACAACAUUAUGUUCCUGAAUUCCCAGAAAAAGAAUAUGAAGGUGAAAAGGUUUCUGUCACAACAAGAUUAUUGAUUUCCCACUUAAGUGGAAUUCGUCAUUAUGAAAAGGACAUGAAAAAGGUGAAAGAAGAGAAAGCUUAUAAAGCCUUGAAGAUGAUGAAAGGGACGAUGGAAUCUGACCAAGAAAAAGAGUUAAAAGUAAAAGGAGGCAAAAGUAAUGAAAAGAAUGACUUUGCUAAAGCUAAGAUAGAGCAAGAUAAUGAAGCCAAAGGCCGAAAUUCAAAACCUUGCAAGAAAAAGAAUGAUUUUGAACAAGGCGAAUUAUAUUUGAAAGAAAAAUUUGAAAAUUCAAUUGAAUCCCUAAGAUUAUUUAAAAAUGACCCUUUGUUCUUUAAACCUGGUAGUCAGUUUUUGUAUUCAACUUUUGGCUAUACCCUAUUGGCAGCCAUAGUAGAAAGAGCUUCAGGAUAUAAAUAUUUGGACUAUAUGCAGAAAAUAUUCCAUGACUUGGAUAUGCUGACAACUGUGCAGGAAGAAAAUGAGCCAGUGAUUUACAAUAGAGCAAGAUUUUAUGUUUACAAUAAAAAGAGACGUCUUGUCAACACACCUUACGUGGAUAACUCCUAUAAAUGGGCUGGUGGUGGAUUUCUGUCUACAAACAUCUUCACCCAAAAAAGAAAUCCUAUACCCAUUAAUAUUUGCUCUGCAUUCCUGUCUACUCCCGGGCCCUGGCAACCACCAAUCUACUCUCUGUCUCUUUGGAUUUGCCUAUUAUGGAUGUUUCAUCACAGACCACAGAGCGAACUGCUUGGAGCUGCCAAGGAGGUGACAUUUACAUUGGGAGAGGAGGGAAGAGCAUUGUCUGGGUGUCCGGGAGAAGUGCAGCGUGACUGAACUGUCUGUGCGGGAAGAACCACGAAGUGUGAAGAGCCCUGUGAAAGGUGGUGUCUAUUUCUCCACUCCCUUGAACCAGAGGUGGCCUUGUGACUUGCUUUGACCCAGGGAAAUGAUGUUGCACAAGUUCCAGCGCUUAGGCUUCAAGAGGCCAUCAAACUUGCAUCUUCACCCUCCAAGAACACUGCCCCCAAGACGGCCACGUAAGGAAACCAGACUACCUUACUGGAUAACCCAACUGACGGCCAGUACCAGACAUGUGACUGAAGCCAUCUUGGACCUUCCAGUCCAGUUGAGCCUCCAUGCAUGAGUGAGCCCAGAUUUUUCCAAGGUUCCUAAACUGUGCAAGCUGAAGUGGCUUGGAGCAUCAUGGGAGAAACAUUGAUACUUGACAUCUUUUGGAUACCAGGCAAACUUCUAGUUCCAGGGUUCAACAUCUGAUAAGAACUCUUUUAAGUGGCUGACGCGAGACGGUCCUUGAUAAUUUGUAAGGCAACUGCGAAGACACUUUUCAAAAAGGAAACAAGUAGGAAAUCGCUUCCAAGAGAAGGCACAGGGGGCAAGACCCACGAAGCAAAAGGAGAGCAAGAAGACUUCAACGGUCACAGCCUCGCGGGUUCCCACCGAAACCCAGGAGGGCUGACUGAGGUACCCGGGGAGCUGUCCCCUCCCGGCCAUGGACUCCAGACUGCACCCAGGGCGGCGCCGGGUGCAGUCCCAACGGCUCCACGCCCAGGCAGGGCCCGACUUGCCGCGCCGCCGGGCAAGUCCCAACAAGUCCACGACGCGCGAAAGAGCCGCGGGAUCCGAGCAGCCGAGCCGCGUUCGGCCGGGAGACCCGGGGGCCCGCGGAGCCAUCGAGCUAGCCCGCCCCUGGGGCCCCUCGGCUUACAGAGAAGGCAGACACAAACGCGAAGCCCGAAAGUAAACAACUCACAGGCAUGUUGAUCCUUUCGCAAGCCCAGCCCGUGCAGAUCUCUAAGGCGACACCCCAAGCAAGCAGCACGCGACCGGGAGCGCGGCGUCAACUUCCGGGAUAGAGGAGGCUGGGAGGAGCGGAGCGGCGGGCCCGUUGACUCUAGGCGCUCCUCUCUGUGGUGAGGGCUGGCUCCGGCCGGGAUCCGCGGGCGGCGGGCGAGGGGAGGUGCCGAGCCCCUCGUCCAUUCGAGUUCCAAAGCCCGCGAACGUAACGGGCUCCUGGGCUAAGGCCGCCGUCCCCAGGGCUUCGCUCUGGGCAAGUGGUUCCUGGGGCCGGGCUCAGGCGGUGCACGCCCGGAUGGGAAGCCCCCUCGGGCUUCGGGAGCGCCGGCACCGCUGCAGAGCGGACCCGGCUGGGCACGCUUGGUCACUUGUCGUAGGUCCCGCCGCCAAGCCUUCCGCUCUCGGCUGCCCUGCGGGCGGGCACAUGGGUGAUGCCUCUGUUCUUUUAUGUAUUAAAAACAAUAUUAUUAAUUAAAACCAUUAACACGU